RNAcentral lists this small RNA (2005 nucleotides) under Pongo abelii (Sumatran orangutan). Its description in RNAcentral is "retained intron". Lineage: Eukaryota; Metazoa; Chordata; Mammalia; Primates; Hominidae. The record is from RNAcentral.
UUCGAGCCGGGCAAGUACGCGUAGGCGGUAUCGGCGCCCUAGGGGCCGGGCUAGGGAAGGUCCAGGACUCCAGGGGCAGGGCUCUGUGUAGGCCAAUUGGGCGGGGCCAGAUAAGCCAGAGUCCCAGGGUCUUGUUCACGCCCCAUUACCGCUCCCAGGUUCCUCGAUCAAGGUCUGGACGACAACUAUUGCCGGAAUCCUGACGGCUCCGAGCGGCCAUGGUGCUACACUACGGAUCCGCAGAUCGAGCGAGAGUUCUGUGACCUCCCCCGCUGCGGGUCCGAGGCACAACCCCGCCAAGAGGCCACAACUGUCAGCUGCUUCCGCGGGAAGGGUGAGGGCUACCGGGGCACAGCCAAUACCACCACCGCGGGCGUACCUUGCCAGCGUUGGGACGCGCAAAUCCCGCAUCAGCACCGAUUUACGCCAGAAAAAUACGCGUGCAAGUGAGGUGGGGGGGGGGCGGGCGUUGGGACGUGCUGCUGCGGGUGAGACGGGAGGAGGGUAGUCACCGGCUUAGGGCUGGAGGCUGGCGGGCUAGGGCUGAGUGGAGCGCCUGCUUAGAGACCUUCGGGAGAACUUCUGCCGGAACCCCGACGGCUCAGAGGCGCCCUGGUGCUUCACACUGCGGCCCGGCAUGCGCGUGGCCUUUUGCUACCAGAUCCGGCGUUGUGCAGACGACGUGCGGCCCCAGGGUGAGGCCCAAGCUUGGGGGCUACAGAGCCGGGGCUGGAAGCCUGGAACCGGAGGGCCGGGGCGAGGUCUCGGCCUGACGGCUGCCCGCACCCGCCGCAGACUGCUACCACGGCGCAGGGGAGCAGUACCGCGGCACGGUCAGCAAGACCCGCAAGGGUGUCCAGUGCCAGCGCUGGUCCGCUGAGACGCCGCACAAGCCGCAGUGAGUCCCUGGUGCUCCCGGCCUCGCCAGGGCCCUAACCCUGGGGCGGCAUGUUUUGGUGUCUGGGAGCAGAGCCUGGAAAUGGUUGAGACUACCCUGCCACGAUUUUGCUCCCGCUCCCGCCUAGGUUCACGUUUACCUCCGAACCGCAUGCACAACUGGAGGAGAACUUCUGCCGGAACCCAGAUGGGGAUAGCCAUGGGCCCUGGUGCUACACGAUGGACCCAAGAACCCCAUUCGACUACUGUGCCCUGCGACGCUGCGCUGAUGACCAGCCGCCAUCAAUCCUGGACCCCCCAGACCAGGUGCAGUUUGAGAAGUGUGGCAAGAGGGUGGAUCGGCUGGAUCAGCGUCGUUCCAAGCUGCGCGUGGUUGGGGGCCAUCCAGGCAACUCACCCUGGACAGUCAGCUUGCGGAAUCGGCAGGGCCAGCAUUUCUGCGGGGGGUCUCUAGUGAAGGAGCAGUGGAUACUGACUGCCCGGCAGUGCUUCUCCUCCUGCCAUAUGCCUCUCACAGGCUAUGAGGUAUGGUUGGGCACCCUGUUCCAGAAUCCACAGCACGGAGAACCAGGCCUACAGCGGGUCCCAGUAGCCAAGAUGGUGUGUGGGCCCUCAGGCUCCCAGCUUGUCCUGCUCAAGCUGGAGAGAUCUGUGACCCUGAACCAGCGGGUGGCCCUGAUCUGCCUGCCCCCUGAAUGGUAUGUGGUGCCUCCAGGGACCAAGUGUGAGAUUGCAGGCUGGGGUGAGACCAAAGGUACGGGUAAUGACACAGUCCUAAAUGUGGCCUUGCUGAACGUCAUCUCCAACCAGGAGUGCAACAUCAAGCACCGAGGACGUGUGCGGGAGAGCGAGAUGUGCACGGAGGGACUGUUGGCCCCUGUGGGGGCCUGUGAGGGUGACUAUGGAGGCCCACUUGCCUGCUUUACCCACAACUGCUGGGUCCUGGAAGGAAUUAUAAUCCCCAACCGAGUAUGCGCAAGGUCCCGCUGGCCAGCCAUCUUCACGCGUGUCUCUGUGUUUGUGGACUGGAUUCACAAGGUCAUGAGACUGGGUUAGGCCCAGCCUUGACGCCAUAUGCCUUGGGGAGGACAAAACUUCUUGUCAGACA